AUUCGAUGCAACGCGAAGAACCUUACCUGGUCUUGACAUCCACGGAAGUUUUCAGAGAUGAGAAUGUGCCUUCGGGAACCGUGAGACAGGUGCUGCAUGGCUGUCGUCAGCUCGUGUUGUGAAAUGUUGGGUUAAGUCCCGCAACGAGCGCAACCCUUAUCCUUUGUUGCCAGCGGUCCGGCCGGGAACUCAAAGGAGACUGCCAGUGAUAAACUGGAGGAAGGUGGGGAUGACGUCAAGUCAUCAUGGCCCUUACGACCAGGGCUACACACGUGCUACAAUGGCGCAUACAAAGAGAAGCGACCUCGCGAGAGCAAGCGGACCUCAUAAAGUGCGUCGUAGUCCGGAUUGGAGUCUGCAACUCGACUCCAUGAAGUCGGAAUCGCUAGUAAUCGUGGAUCAGAAUGCCACGGUGAAUACGUUCCCGGGCCUUGUACACACCGCCCGUCACACCAUGGGAGUGGGUUGCAAAAGAAGUAGGUAGCUUAACCU
This 492-nucleotide ribosomal RNA is filed under the name uncultured Escherichia sp. Its description in RNAcentral is "bacterial SSU rRNA". It matches the Rfam family "Bacterial small subunit ribosomal RNA", at positions 949 to 1441 of the family's 1533-position model. Lineage: Bacteria; Pseudomonadati; Pseudomonadota; Gammaproteobacteria; Enterobacterales; Enterobacteriaceae. The record is from RNAcentral.